GACGAACGCUGGCGGCGUGCUUAACACAUGCAAGUCGAACGGCAAGGCCCUGCUUUUGUGGGGUGCUCGAGUGGCGAACGGGUGAGUAACACGUGAGUAACCUGCCCUUGACUUUGGGAUAACUUCAGGAAACUGGGGCUAAUACCGGAUAGGAGCUCCUGCUGCAUGGUGGGGGUUGGAAAGUUUCGGCGGUUGGGGAUGGACUCGCGGCUUAUCAGCUUGUUGGUGGGGUAGUGGCUUACCAAGCCUUUGACGGGUCGCCGGCCUGUGAGGGUGACCGGCGACAUUGGGCCUGAGAGACGGCCCAGACGGCUACGGGAGGCAGCAGGGGGGAAUAUGGCACAGUGGGCGGGAGCCUGAGGCAGAAACGCCGCGUGCGGGAUGACGGCCUUCGGGUUGUAAACCGCAUUCGCCUGUGACGAAGCGUGAGUGACGGUAAUGGGUAAAGAAGCACCGGCUAACUACGUG
RNAcentral lists this ribosomal RNA (468 nucleotides) under uncultured bacterium. RNAcentral describes it as "partial 16S ribosomal RNA". It matches the Rfam family "Bacterial small subunit ribosomal RNA", at positions 28 to 507 of the family's 1533-position model. The record is from RNAcentral.